CAGCAGCCGCGGUAAUACGAGGGGGGCAAGCGUUGUUCGGAAUUAUUGGGCGUAAAGGGCGCGUAGGCGGUUUGGCAAGUUUGGUGUGAAAUCUUCGGGCUCAACUCGAAGUCUGCAUCGAAAACUGCCGGGCUUGAGUGUGGGAGAGGUGAGUGGAAUUUCCGGUGUAGCGGUGAAAUGCGUAGAUAUCGGAAGGAACACCUGUGGCGAAAGCGGCUCACUUGACCACAACUGACGCUGAGGCGCGAAAGCUAGGGGAGCAAACAGGAUUAGAUACCCCUGUAGUCCCUGUCUCUUAUAC
Molecule: ribosomal RNA, 301 nt
Filed under: uncultured bacterium
Lineage: Bacteria
Description: partial 16S ribosomal RNA
Rfam family: Bacterial small subunit ribosomal RNA
Source: RNAcentral